RNAcentral lists this ribosomal RNA (688 nucleotides) under Staphylococcus sp. S1(2010). Its description in RNAcentral is "bacterial SSU rRNA". It matches the Rfam family "Bacterial small subunit ribosomal RNA", at positions 26 to 702 of the family's 1533-position model. The record is from RNAcentral. Lineage: Bacteria; Bacillati; Bacillota; Bacilli; Caryophanales; Staphylococcaceae.
CGAUCACGCUGGCGGCGUGCCUACACAUGCAAGUCGUGCCAAGGUAUCCGUAACUUGCUCCUUUGACGUUAGCGGCGGACGGGUGAGUAACACGUGGAUAACCUACCUAUAAGACUGGGAUAACUUCGGGAAACCGGAGCUAAUACCGGAUAACAUAUUGAACCGCAUGGUUCAAUAGUGAAAGGCGGCUUUGCUGUCACUUAUAGAUGGAUCCGCGCCGUAUUAGCUAGUUGGUAAGGUAACGGCUUACCAAGGCAACGAUACGUAGCCGACCUGAGAGGGUGAUCGGCCACACUGGAACUGAGACACGGUCCAGACUCCUACGGGAGGCAGCAGUAGGGAAUCUUCCGCAAUGGGCGAAAGCCUGACGGAGCAACGCCGCGUGAGUGAUGAAGGUCUUCGGAUCGUAAAACUCUGUUAUCAGGGAAGAACAAAUGUGUAAGUAACUGUGCACAUCUUGACGGUACCUGAUCAGAAAGCCACGGCUAACUACGUGCCAGCAGCCGCGGUAAUACGUAGGUGGCAAGCGUUAUCCGGAAUUAUUGGGCGUAAAGCGCGCGUAGGCGGUUUUUUAAUCUGAUGUGAAAGCCCCGGCUCACCGUGGAGGGUCAUUGGAAACUGGAAAACUUGAGUGCAAAAAAAGAAAGUGGAAAUUCCUGUGUAACGGUGAAAUGCCCAAAGAUUUGGG